RNAcentral lists this microRNA (20 nucleotides) under Bombyx mori (domestic silkworm). RNAcentral's name for it is "bmo-miR-2770-3p". Lineage: Eukaryota; Metazoa; Arthropoda; Insecta; Lepidoptera; Bombycidae. The record is from miRBase by way of RNAcentral.
UUAUCCCCGUGUACUGUUAG